Molecule: ribosomal RNA, 587 nt
Filed under: Scinax fuscovarius (snouted treefrog)
Lineage: Eukaryota; Metazoa; Chordata; Amphibia; Anura; Hylidae
Description: partial 16S ribosomal RNA
Rfam family: Bacterial large subunit ribosomal RNA
Source: RNAcentral
CGGUUACAAUAAGAAGGGGUCCAGGCCUGCCCCAGUGGACAAAUGUUCAACGGCCGCGGUAUCCUAACCGUGCGAAGGUAGCGUAAUCACUUGUUCUUUAAAUGAGGACUAGUAUGAAUGGCACCACGAGGGUUGCACUGUCUCCUUUCCCUAAUCAAUGAAACUAAUCUCCCCGUGAAGAAGCGGGGGUACUAAUAUAAGACGAGAAGACCCUAUGGAGCUUUAAAUUUCUCUUCAAACGCCAGACACAAACAUCUGACACUUUACAUUAACCCGACGCCUUGAAGAUGAAUUUUAGGUUGGGGUGACCAUGGAGAACAAAAUAACCUCCACGCUGAAAAGGCCUCCAAGCCUUGAGCCGAGGGCUACAACCCAACGCACUAAAAAAUUAACACCCAUUGACCCAAUAUUUUUGAUCAACGAACCAAGUUACCCUAGGGAUAACAGCGCAAUCUACUUCAAGAGUCCCUAUCGACAAGUGGGUUUACGACCUCGAUGUUGGAUCAGGGUAUCCCAGUGGUGCAGCCGCUACUAAAGGUUCGUUUGUUCAACGAUUAAAACCCUACGUGAUCUGAGUUCAGACCGGA